GAUUCCCGGAACUUGUAGUCUAAGACGUUCUCCAACUCAGCCCCGCUGCGCAGGCGUAGUCGGGGAGCCCGCGCCUCCGCGCCCACUCCCAUCACUGCUGGCGCAUUGCCUUCUGGGGCUUGUAGUUUGCACUCCGGACGCACUCAGGCUUGAGGACAGUGCUGGAAAGCCUGACCGCGACUCGGUGUUUAGAAAGCUCAAUUUAGGGCUGGGCUUGGCACGUUUCACAUCUGUCUGACGGAGGUGGUUCUUCGUGUACUGGGCAGUCCUAACUCGCAGCCGCGCGUCAUCACCCGCAUUUCAUAGAUGAAAAAACUGAGUCUCGGGAAACUCACUCAAGGUCAAAAACUUUGUGAGGAGCAGAGCUCAUAAGAGCCCGCGGUCUCCAGAACCCCACAACAACAUCUGAAAAUAUGAGAGCAGCCGCCUCACCCGCAACAGGGGGAGCCCCUCCUGCCACCAGGGGACCGUCGCCGCCCCUCGCGAGAAGCUGCAGGCGUGGGGGGAGGCGAGGCAGGAUGGCUCGGUGGGCGGUGCCCGGGGCGGGGUCGGCCGUGCCUGGGCGGGGCCGGGUGGGAGGGGCAGUGCAUAAGGCCGGGAUGCGGGGCAGGGCCCGGCGGUGGGAGGACGGACUAAGGGGAGGUCCCCGUCCUGGGCCACGGGGCGAUGGCGCGGGUAGGACGCAUCCCUCAGAGGCCAGGAGGAGCGCGAGAAGGUCCCAGGACCCCCUUGGGAGGCGCCGCUCCCGAGAAUGUAGAGCCUGGGAGAUACCACCGCACGGAAUGGGGCAUUAGCCCACCAGGGAGCUUCGUCGGGAGAGGUCCAUGGAGCUGGAGCUGAGA
Molecule: long non-coding RNA, 842 nt
Filed under: Homo sapiens (human)
Lineage: Eukaryota; Metazoa; Chordata; Mammalia; Primates; Hominidae
Description: HSALNT0177004
Source: RNAcentral